This 468-nucleotide ribosomal RNA is filed under the name uncultured bacterium. Its description in RNAcentral is "partial 16S ribosomal RNA". It matches the Rfam family "Bacterial small subunit ribosomal RNA", at positions 28 to 507 of the family's 1533-position model. The record is from RNAcentral.
GACGAACGCUGGCGGCGUGCUUAACACAUGCAAGUCGAACGGAAAGGCCCUGCUUUUGUGGGGUGCUCGAGUGGCGAACGGGUGAGUAACACGUGAGUAACCUGCCCUUGACUUUGGGAUAACUUCAGGAAACUGGGGCUAAUACCGUAUAGGAGCUCCUGCUGCAUGGUGGGGGUUGGAAAGUUUCGGCGGGUGGGGAUGGACGCGCGGCUUAUCAGCUUGUUGGUGGGGGAGUGGCUUACCCAGGCUGUGACGGGUAGCCGGCCUGAGAGGGUGACCGGCGACCUGGGGACUGAGAUACGGCCCAGACUCCUACGGGAGGCAGCGGGGGGAAAUAUGGCACAAUGGGCGGAAGCCUGUGGAAGCAGCGCCGGGUGCGGGAUGACGGCUUUCGGGUAGUAAACCGCUUCCGCCUGUGACGAAGCGUGAGUGACGGUAACGAGUAAAGAAGCACCGGCUAACUACGUG